Molecule: unclassified non-coding RNA, 354 nt
Filed under: Hevea brasiliensis (rubber tree)
Lineage: Eukaryota; Viridiplantae; Streptophyta; Magnoliopsida; Malpighiales; Euphorbiaceae
Source: RNAcentral
GAGCAGCGGGAACCAGAUCCAGAACACCGCCAUCCCAACAAUCUCACCCCAUCGGUGUUGUACAUUCUUCUUCGUUAGUAAGAGAAUGAACGACUGAGCCCAGAGGUUCAGCCUCGCGAAGCACAUCACCGGAUAGAACGUCCAGUGCUGGUAGCUGACGAGGAAGCGGGAGGCUGCAUCGAAGGUCAUUUUCCGUUCGUAAGCAUAUGAAGUGAUUGAAUCGAAGAUGGGCGACGCGACGGCGAAGAACGGGAUGUGCUGGAGAUCGGGGUCGUAUUCGAGACUAUUGCAGGCGAUGUGAUGGGCGUUGUGGUUCCACUUCCACCAGGCAAUGCUGAUGCCGGCGAGGCAGUU